CCAGUUAAUGAUGAGAAGUCCUAUUUUCUCCAUAAGUUUGUAACAAUCUAUUGGAAAAGGGACUAGAUUCCGAGAUGAAUUAGAAGUAAUAUGUAUAUGGCUUAUAGUCUAUACACUAAUUGCUUUGUUCAUCUUAUCUAUUACAAUAUCGGUCGUUAAAUUUCCAUGCUUAUUUCUUGGUAGAACAUGGUUUUCUAUUUAAGGCGACAUUUAUUUUUCCUGUUGUACGCUUGGAUGAUUAUAAGAAUGUUAAAUAUGUGCAGGAUGUUAAUUCACUAUUUGAUAUGUUUGUUUCUGCUAUUUUUCAUAUCUGGGUUUGAACUUUGGUAAACAUUCCACCGAGUAUUUUGAAUGGCUUUGUGGCACUUCUUUCGGAUGGAGGAUUUUAACAAAAUUUGAAGCGAAGACAUGACCAGGAUAUUGAUUGUAGGAGGGAAAUAAAAGGGAAAUGAGACCUGUAAUAUACACGAAGUAAUAUUUGUUUACUUUGUGUUUCAUUUACUGUAAUAUUUGUGAGAUGAAUGAAAAGUAAGCUUAGAUCUAUAUAUCCAGAUAUCAGUGUACAGCAGCAGUACUGUUAAUCUUGCCAUGCUA
Molecule: long non-coding RNA, 594 nt
Organism: Juglans microcarpa x Juglans regia
Lineage: Eukaryota; Viridiplantae; Streptophyta; Magnoliopsida; Fagales; Juglandaceae
Exons: 2
Source: RefSeq, a predicted model, not a curated record